UGUAUUUAUUAGAUUAAAAACCAAUGCCCUUCGGGGCUCUCUGGUGAUUCAUAAUAACUUCUCGAAUCGCACGGCCUUGCGCCGGCGAUGGUUCAUUCAAAUUUCUGCCCUAUCAACUUUCGACGGCUGGGUCUUGGCCAGCCGUGGUGACAACGGGUAACGGAGGGUUAGGGCUCGACCCCGGAGAAGGAGCCUGAGAAACGGCUACUACAUCCAAGGAAGGCAGCAGGCGCGCAAAUUACCCAAUCCCGACACGGGGAGGUAGUGACAAUAAAUACUGAUACAGGGCUCUUUCGGGUCUUGUAAUUGGAAUGAGUACAAUUUAAAUCCCUUAACGAGGAACAAUUGGAGGGCAAGUCUGGUGCCAGCAGCCGCGGUAAUUCCAGCUCCAAUAGCGUAUAUUAAAGUUGUUGAGGUUAAAAAGCUCGUAGUUGAACCUUGGGCCUAGCCGGCCGGUCCGCCUCACCGCGUGCACUGGCUCGGCUGGGUCUUUCCUUCUGGAGAACCGCAUGACCUUCACUGGGUGUGCCGGGGAACCAGG
RNAcentral lists this ribosomal RNA (541 nucleotides) under uncultured eukaryote. RNAcentral's name for it is "SSU rRNA". It matches the Rfam family "Eukaryotic small subunit ribosomal RNA", at positions 202 to 746 of the family's 1831-position model. The record is from RNAcentral.